RNAcentral lists this ribosomal RNA (468 nucleotides) under uncultured bacterium. RNAcentral describes it as "partial 16S ribosomal RNA". It matches the Rfam family "Bacterial small subunit ribosomal RNA", at positions 28 to 507 of the family's 1533-position model. The record is from RNAcentral.
GACGAACGCUGGCGGCGCGCUUAACACAUGCAAGUCGAACGGAAAGGCACUGCUUUUGUGGGGUGCUCGAGUGGCGAACGGGUGCGUAACACGUGAGUAACCUGCCCUUGACUUUGGGAUAACUUCAGGAAACUGGGGUUAAUACCGGAUAGGAGCUCCUGCUGCAUGGUGGGGGUUGGAAAGUUUCGGCGGUUGGGGAUGGACUCGCGGCUUAUCAGCUUGUUGGUUGGGUAGUGGCUUACCAAGGCUUUGACGGGUAGCCGGCCUGAGAGGGUGACCGGCCACAUUGGGACUGAGAUACGGCCCAGACUCCUACGGUAGGCAGCAGUGGGGAAUAUUGCACAAUGGGCGGAAGCCUGAGGCAGCAACGCCGCGGGCGGGAUGACGGCCUGCGGGUUGUAAACCGCUUUCGCCUAUGACGAAGCGGUAGUGACGGUAAUGGGUAAAGAAGCACCGGCUAACUACGUG